Non-coding RNA from Phrynosoma platyrhinos (Desert horned lizard), 73 nucleotides. The record is from the annotation of a GenBank genome assembly. Lineage: Eukaryota; Metazoa; Chordata; Lepidosauria; Squamata; Phrynosomatidae.
AACCAGCUUGGUGUAGAGGUUUGUGCACUGGAUUAUGACUCUGGAGACCAGGGUUCAAAUCCCAGUUUGGUCA